AGGACGAACGCUGGCGGCGUGCUUAACACAUGCAAGUCGAGCGGAAAGGCCCUUCGGGGUACUCGAGCGGCGAACGGGUGAGUAACACGUGAGUAAUCUGCCCCUAGCUCUGGGAUAGCUCCGGGAAAACCGGGAUUAAUACCAGAUACGACCACUUUAGACAUCUGUUGUGGUGGAAAGAAUUUCGGCUAGGGAUGAGCUCGCGGCCUAUCAGCUUGUUGGUGAGGUAACGGCUCACCAAGGCGACGACGGGUAGCCGGCCUGAGAGGGCGACCGGCCACACUGGGACUGAGACACGGCCCAGACUCCUACGGGAGGCAGCAGUGGGGAAUAUUGCGCAAUGGGCGAAAGCCUGACGCAGCGACGCCGCGUGGGGGAUGAAGGCCUUCGGGUUGUAAACCCUUUCAGCAGGGACGAAGCGAAGUGACGGUACCUGCAGAAGAAGCGCCGGCUAACUACGCGCCAGCAGCCGC
Molecule: ribosomal RNA, 473 nt
Filed under: uncultured bacterium
Lineage: Bacteria
Description: SSU rRNA
Rfam family: Bacterial small subunit ribosomal RNA
Source: RNAcentral